Molecule: ribosomal RNA, 378 nt
Filed under: uncultured fungus
Lineage: Eukaryota; Fungi
Description: bacterial SSU rRNA
Rfam family: Eukaryotic small subunit ribosomal RNA
Source: RNAcentral
AGCUCCAAUAGCGUAUAUUAAAGUUGUUGCAGUUAAAAAGCUCGUAGUUGAAUUUCAGGCGAGACCACCGGUCCACCCAAGGGUGCGUACUGGCCAGUUUCGCCUUACCUUCUGGGGAACUUGAGUGCCCUUUAUUGGGUGUUUAAGCAAGCCAGAAUCUUUACUUUGAAAAAAUUAGAGUGUUUAAAGCAGGCAAUCGCUUGAAUACAUCAGCAUAGAAUAAUAAAAUAGGAUUUUGGUUCUAUUUUGUUGGUUUUGAGGACCAAAGUAAUGAUUAAAAGGAAUAGUUGGGGGCAUUACUAUUAAGAAGUCAGAGGUGAAAUUCUUGGAUUUUCUUAAGAGUCACUAGUGCGAAAGCAUUUGUCAAGGAUGUUUUCA